Molecule: non-coding RNA, 254 nt
Organism: Callithrix jacchus (white-tufted-ear marmoset)
Lineage: Eukaryota; Metazoa; Chordata; Mammalia; Primates; Cebidae
Source: Rfam
GGAAAGGAAGCUUUAUUGUUUCCAAGAACUCUGCUGGAGGAGUCAUGCAAACUUCACCAUUUCUUCCUCUAAUGUCCAUGUGCCAUAAUGGUAUGAGGAAGGGAGAACAAGCCUUUGAAACGGCUACCAGGAUCCUCUGUAGAUCUCUGGGAUAUCAUUCACUCAUGCUUCUAUGCUGGCUGACUCCUAACAUCAUCACAUUCUUCCAGUUCCCACAGUAGUCACGUAGGCAGAGCCUUCUGAGCUACGGUAAA